UCUUUGAAAAUCUUUAAAAUGUACAUGAUGAGUUCCUGUAUGACGAGAGUUUAAAAUCCUACCACAGCCACAUAUACAUGCUUAUUAGACUAUGAACCGUACAUUUACUACUUAUGAGCAUUGAGUGUGGUCAAGUUAUGUAGACCCUUAGGAACUUGUAUGCGGUUAAAAUCAAGAUUCACUUGCACGUUCACUCAUACAUGCUACUUCUACUCUGGAAGUACGCAUCCACAUACAUCCACUCAUUCCCAUCUCCAGAUUCACCUAAAAUGAUUCUACUCCUAUCCGGGAGAGAAUAGCCAAAAACAUUAUCCUAUCUCUGUUAUUCCCCGUGAAAUAAAUGCUCGAGAUAUUUUGGUUACUACCACUUGCUACAUUAUUCUAGGAGGGUGAGUGCUCUAAAAAAAUACGAGGAAAUAAAAAGGGGCAAGUGCCUAGAACCUCGAAGAAAAGAAAAAGUGAGACGAGAGGUAAAAAUAGACAAGUGCCCGACAGUAGAAUUAGGGGUACAAGAUACCCACCUGAGAGAAAAGAAAAAUAAAAUAUAGAGCAUCUCAUUCCCCUCAAAAAGCUCCAAGUGCAAGAAAGGUAUGUAUCUCCUCAAAAGAGCAAAAGUAGAAUUAGACUUUCACCAUUGUUAUCACCAUACACCAUUCACUCGCCACACAUGCACAUCUUGAUUUUACUUAUUGACUUGUUUCUCUGGAUCCAUGGUUUGACUAUGCAAUAAAUGUCUUGUAAGUAUGUAUUAUCUGUCUCCCACCUAUGAGCUCCAGAUAUCAAAACCUUAUUAGAGUAGGGUGAGAGAGAAGGCAAUAUCACUAUGCCUCAUACCAAAAAUACCACGUACUUUGAGAGAAGGCAUAUACCAUUACUACCUUGGAAAGGAUCUAGAAAUACCACAAAAGAGAGAUUUGAGAGAGUCAUACAAGGAAUCUCUGAGUUUUAUUUGAAAAUCUGCAAAAACUCCAGAGCCAUAGC
This 981-nucleotide long non-coding RNA is filed under the name Sorghum bicolor (sorghum). Its description in RNAcentral is "long non-coding RNA (SBIC_LNC003123)". The record is from RNAcentral. Lineage: Eukaryota; Viridiplantae; Streptophyta; Magnoliopsida; Poales; Poaceae.